UUUGAUCAUGGCUCAGAUUGAACGCUGGCGGCAUGCCUUACACAUGCAAGUCGAACGGUAACGCGGGGCUUCGGGCCUGGCGACGAGUGGCGAACGGGUGAGUAAUACAUCGGAACGUGCCCAGGAGUGGGGGAUAGCUCGGCGAAAGCCGAAUUAAUACCGCAUACGUCCUAUGGGAGAAAGCGGGGGAUCUUCGGACCUCGCGCUCAUGGAGCGGCCGAUGUCGGAUUAGCUAGUUGGUGGGGUAAGAGCCUACCAAGGCGACGAUCCGUAGCUGGUCUGAGAGGAUGAUCAGCCACACUGGGACUGAGACACGGCCCAGACUCCUACGGGAGGCAGCAGUGGGGAAUUUUGGACAAUGGGGGCAACCCUGAUCCAGCCAUGCCGCGUGAGUGAAGAAGGCCUUCGGGUUGUAAAGCUCUUUCGGCCGGAACGAAAUCGCACGGGUCAAUAGCCUGUGUGGAUGACGGUACCGGAAGAAGAAGCACCGGCUAACUACGUGCCAGCCGCCGCGGUAAUAC
This 521-nucleotide ribosomal RNA is filed under the name uncultured bacterium. RNAcentral describes it as "bacterial SSU rRNA". It matches the Rfam family "Bacterial small subunit ribosomal RNA", at positions 12 to 526 of the family's 1533-position model. The record is from RNAcentral.